UACGGAGGGGGCGAGCGUUAAUCGGAAUUACUGGGCGUAAAGCGCACGUAGGCGGUUGGGUAAGUCGGAUGUGAAAGCCCUGGGCUUAACCUGGGAACUGCCCCCGAUAAUCCCCGGCUAGAGUAUGGGAGAGGGAAGCGGAAUUUCCGGUGUAGCGGUGAAAUGCGUAGAUAUCGGAAGGAACACCAAUGGCGAAGGCAGCUUCCUGGCCCAAUACUGACGCUCAGGUGCGAAAGCGUGGGGAUCAAACAGG
RNAcentral lists this ribosomal RNA (253 nucleotides) under uncultured bacterium. Its description in RNAcentral is "partial 16S ribosomal RNA". It matches the Rfam family "Bacterial small subunit ribosomal RNA", at positions 524 to 776 of the family's 1533-position model. The record is from RNAcentral.